RNAcentral lists this transfer RNA (73 nucleotides) under Bacteroidota bacterium. RNAcentral's name for it is "Bacteroidetes bacterium (activated sludge metagenome) tRNA-Glu". It matches the Rfam family "tRNA". From Rfam's summary of the family: Transfer RNA (tRNA) molecules are approximately 80 nucleotides in length. Their secondary structure includes four short double-helical elements and three loops (D, anti-codon, and T loops). Further hydrogen bonds mediate the characteristic L-shaped molecular structure. tRNAs have two regions of fundamental functional importance: the anti-codon, which is responsible for specific mRNA codon recognition, and the 3' end, to which the tRNAs corresponding amino acid is attached (by aminoacyl-tRNA synthetases). tRNAs cope with the degeneracy of the genetic code in two manners: having more than one tRNA (with a specific anti-codon) for a particular amino acid; and 'wobble' base-pairing, i.e. permitting non-standard base-pairing at the 3rd anti-codon position. RNAcentral also lists the same sequence under 1 other name. Lineage: Bacteria; Pseudomonadati; Bacteroidota. The record is from RNAcentral.
GGCGCUGUAGGCAAGCGGUCAAGCCCUCUGGCUUUCAACCAGAGUAUCGCGGGUUCGAAUCCCGUCGGCGCUA